Molecule: ribosomal RNA, 888 nt
Filed under: Microbacterium proteolyticum
Lineage: Bacteria; Bacillati; Actinomycetota; Actinomycetes; Micrococcales; Microbacteriaceae
Description: bacterial SSU rRNA
Rfam family: Bacterial small subunit ribosomal RNA
Source: RNAcentral
GGCGCAAGCGUUAUCCGGAAGUUAUGGUCGUAAAGAUCUNGUANACUGAUUGUCGUGUCUGCUGUGAAAUCCGGAGGCUCAUCCUCUGCCUUGCANUGGAUCCGUGCAGCCUAGAUUCCGAUAGGGGAGAUUGGAUUUCUUAGUGUAGCGGUGGAAUGCGCAGAUAUCAGGAGGAACACAGAUGGCGAAGUCAGAUCUGUGGGCUGUAACGGUCUCUGAGGAGCGAAAGGGUGGGGAGCAACCAGCCUUAGAUUCCGUGGUAGUCCACCCAUUAACCGUUGCGAUCUAGUUGUGGGGACCAUUCCGCGGUUUCCGUGACGCAGCUAGGGCUUUAAGUUCCCCCCCUGGGGAUUUCGUCCGCAAGGCUAAACUUCAAAGGAAUGGACGGGGCCCGGCACAAGCGGCGGAGCAUGCGGAUUAAUUCGAUGCAUCGCGAAGACCCUUACCAAGGCUUGACAUACACCAGAACACCGUAGAAAUACGGGACUCUUUGGACAUUGGUGACCAGGUGGUGCAUGGUUGUCGUCAGCUCGUGUCGUGAGAUGUUGGGUUAAGUCCCGCAACGAGCGCAUCCUUCGUUCUAUGUUGCCAGCACGUAAUGGUGGGAACUCAUGGGAUAUUUCCGGGGUCAACUCGGAGGAAGGUGGGGAUGACGUCAAAUCAUCAUGCCCCUUAUGUCUUGGCCUUCACGCAUGCUACAAUGGCCGGUACAAAGGGCUGCAAUCCCGUGAGGUGGAGCGAAUCCCAAAAAGCCGGUCCCAGUUCGGAUUGAGGUCUGCAACUCGCCCUCAUGAAGUCGGAGUCGCUAGUAAUCGCAGAUCAGCAACGCUGCGGUGAAUACGUUCCCGGGUCUUGUACACACCGCCCGUCAAGUCAUGAAAGUCGGUA